AGUGAACGCUGGCGGCGUGCCUAAUACAUGCAAGUCGAACGGAGUGGCGCACGGGUGAGUAAUAUAUAGCUAAUCUGCCCCUUGCUGGAGGACAACAGUUAGAAAUGACUGCUAAUACUCCAUAGCAAGGGAUGAGACUAUAUCGUAUCAGCUAGUCGGUGGGGUAACGGCCUACCGAGGCUAUGACGCGUAACUGGUCUGAGAGGAUGAUCAGUAACAUUGGAACUGAGAAACGGCCCAAACCCCUACGGGAGGAAGCGGUAGGGAAGUUUGCGCAAGGGGGGAAACCCUGACGCAGCAACGCCGCGGGGAGGAGGACACUUUUCGGAGCGUAAACUCCUUUUGUUAGGGAAGCGGUACCUAACGAAUAAGCACCGGCUAAUGCCGUGCCAGCCGCCGCGGUAAUUC
RNAcentral lists this ribosomal RNA (408 nucleotides) under uncultured bacterium. RNAcentral describes it as "partial 16S ribosomal RNA". It matches the Rfam family "Bacterial small subunit ribosomal RNA", at positions 29 to 526 of the family's 1533-position model. The record is from RNAcentral.